RNAcentral lists this ribosomal RNA (253 nucleotides) under uncultured Eubacteriales bacterium. RNAcentral describes it as "uncultured Clostridiales bacterium partial 16S ribosomal RNA". It matches the Rfam family "Bacterial small subunit ribosomal RNA", at positions 524 to 776 of the family's 1533-position model. The record is from RNAcentral. Lineage: Bacteria; Bacillati; Bacillota; Clostridia; Eubacteriales.
UACGUAUGGAGCAAGCGUUAUCCGGAUUUACUGGGCGUAAAGGGAGCGUAGGCGGCCUGCCAAGUCUGAUGUGAAAUACCGGGGCUCAACCCCGGGAGUGCAUUUGAAACUGCCAUGCUGGAGUGCCGGAGAGGUAAGCGGAAUUCCUAGUGUAGCGGUGAAAUGCGUAGAUAUUAGGAGGAACACCAGUGGCGGAGGCGGCUUACUGGACGGUAACUGACGCUGAGGCUCGAAAGCGUGGGGAGCAAACAGG